GAAUCUGUAGCUCAGCCCGGUUAGAGCGCUACGUUGACAUCGUAGAGGUCAUUGGUUCAAAUCCAAUCAGAUUCACCA
This 78-nucleotide transfer RNA is filed under the name candidate division WWE3 bacterium CG_4_10_14_0_2_um_filter_41_14. RNAcentral describes it as "tRNA-Val". It matches the Rfam family "tRNA". Rfam says of the family: Transfer RNA (tRNA) molecules are approximately 80 nucleotides in length. Their secondary structure includes four short double-helical elements and three loops (D, anti-codon, and T loops). Further hydrogen bonds mediate the characteristic L-shaped molecular structure. tRNAs have two regions of fundamental functional importance: the anti-codon, which is responsible for specific mRNA codon recognition, and the 3' end, to which the tRNAs corresponding amino acid is attached (by aminoacyl-tRNA synthetases). tRNAs cope with the degeneracy of the genetic code in two manners: having more than one tRNA (with a specific anti-codon) for a particular amino acid; and 'wobble' base-pairing, i.e. permitting non-standard base-pairing at the 3rd anti-codon position. Lineage: Bacteria; candidate division WWE3. RNAcentral also lists the same sequence under 1 other name. The record is from RNAcentral.